UGGGGAAUAUUGGACAAUGGGCGAAAGCCUGAUCCAGCCAUGCCGCGUGUGUGAAGAAGGUCUUCGGAUUGUAAAGCACUUUAAGUUGGGAGGAAGGGCAGUAAGCGAAUACCUUGCUGUUUUGACGUUACCGACAGAAUAAGCACCGGCUAACUCUGUGCCAGCAGCCGCGGUAAUACAGAGGGUGCAAGCGUUAAUCGGAAUUACUGGGCGUAAAGCGCGCGUAGGUGGUUCGUUAAGUUGAAUGUGAAAGCCCCGGGCUCAACCUGGGAACUGCAUCCAAAACUGGCGAGCUAGAGUAGGGCAGAGGGUGGUGGAAUUUCCUGUGUAGCGGUGAAAUGCGUAGAUAUAGGAAGGAACACCAGUGGCGAAGGCGACCACCUGGGCUCAUACUGACACUGAGGUGCGAAAGCGUGGGAAGCAAACAGG
RNAcentral lists this ribosomal RNA (429 nucleotides) under Pseudomonadota bacterium. RNAcentral's name for it is "Proteobacteria bacterium partial 16S ribosomal RNA". It matches the Rfam family "Bacterial small subunit ribosomal RNA", at positions 355 to 776 of the family's 1533-position model. Lineage: Bacteria; Pseudomonadati; Pseudomonadota. The record is from RNAcentral.